Long non-coding RNA from Gorilla gorilla gorilla (western lowland gorilla), 538 nucleotides. RefSeq lists it as uncharacterized. The transcript is spliced from 3 exons. NCBI's taxonomy places the organism in Eukaryota, Metazoa, Chordata, Mammalia, Primates, Hominidae. The record is from RefSeq and is a predicted model, not a curated record.
CUAAAAACAAUAAACAACCCAGAUGUCCUAAACGGGUGGAGAAGCUGUGGUACCUUCACGCAAUGGAAUUCUACUCAGCAUUAAAAAGGAAUGAAUCACUGAUGCAGGCAGCAACAAGGAAGAAUCCCAAAUAGCCAAGGCCACAGCCUAGAAACUUCUCCUUGGAGGCUAAGCCUGCAGCACCCAGCUGAGCACAGAGGACAAUCUGAGGAGCUAAGUGACUGGCUGGACACUCCAUUAUUCUGGAUUCUCCACCCCAUGUGGAAGUUUGAGGCCCACCCGUGGUCCUGCCCUCCUCCCCGCUGCAGCAUCUGACCUCCAGGCAUGCCCCAUCAUUCCUCUCCAGACACCAGGAUCUGCCUCACAGGAGACCCCAUGCUGGUCCUGCCAUUCGCCGCAUGGCCUGUCACAUACCAUAGACGUCUCCUCCUCUGACCCCCAGCCCUAGGGGCCCCCACUCCAUGGCUUGCCUGGUCUUCCCACAGCCCAGAACUGCUCCGCUUCAGAAGCUGUGGCCUCCACCGCCCCUCCCCAUCAC